This 985-nucleotide long non-coding RNA is filed under the name Gallus gallus (chicken). RNAcentral describes it as "lncRNA (ENSGALG00010026871.1)". The record is from RNAcentral. Lineage: Eukaryota; Metazoa; Chordata; Aves; Galliformes; Phasianidae.
AGCAGGCUGCACUUGUGAAAAUUAAAUUCUAGACAGCUCACACUGGCACUGGGGAGAGGACAAUUUCAGUGAUUUUUGAGUCAUUUGGCUGGUUUAUGUCUCCUGUGUAGAGGUGUAGCUUCACAAAAUGCCUACUGCCUGCAGGAAGAACUCCCUCCGAACAGAUUCUCUACCUGAGCAUCAGGGAAGGAAAUAAAUCUGGAACUGGUGACAUUUCAAGGACAAGGAAAACAACCGCUCGGAGAAUUAUCUGAUUCCGUUGGUGUUUAUUUUUACUUAUAUCUAGCAAUCUGCGCUCCAACAGAAGAUGCUUAUUUGCAGAAAAGAAGGCUGUCUCCUGUCUGGACUGGUGCCUGGUCUGGAGAAAAGAUGGCACUAAGGACAAGAGCAACUUCCAACUGCCUGUACCCAUAAAAUGGUGGAAAAUAAAGGGACUGAAAGCAGCAUGAAGGGACGUAAGGUAGGAGCACAGCUGCAGCUUUUGGCAGAAGUACCAGACGUUGGGGAUGAGAAGGUGCCUUGUUGAACUGUGUCCUAUGUCCAAGUCUUGUUUUAAUUAUCAUGCUACUUGCUGUUCUAUAGGCAUUACUUAUAGGGUCCUGUGAUUCGACAAAGCCAAUCACCUGCAGAAUUAGAAAUAAACUACCAAAAGUCUGACAUUACUGUCUACUCCCUGUAAGCAACCAUUGGGCAAUAUUAUCUAUAAAUAAAAUCUCCCAAAUAUUACUCUGAACCACGUAGCAGCUUGGAAGGCCAAAAAACUGUCUUUCAUUACUUCUUCACACUUUUGAAGGAAUUGGUUUAGCAGUGAUGCAUCCCCUCAUGCUCUGACCAACUUCACACUUCAUUUUUUAUCCAAAUCUAAGUAACAGGCUUUGGGGACCUUGUCUGUAUUGCUUCCUACUCAAGUCUGUUCCCAUCUGCCUGAUCCCCUCAGUGACUUUACAAUACUUCUUUUGUGUCACCAGGACUACUGUUGCCUCCC